GACGAACGCUGGCGGCGUGCCUAAUACAUGCAAGUAGAACGCUGAAGGAGGAGCUUGCUUCUCUGGAUGAGUUGCGAACGGGUGAGUAACGCGUAGGUAACCUGCCUGGUAGCGGGGGAUAACUAUUGGAAACGAUAGCUAAUACCGCAUAAUAGUAGAUGUUGCAUGACAUUUGCUUAAAAGGUGCAAUUGCAUCACUACCAGAUGGACCUGCGUUGUAUUAGCUAGUUGGUGGGGUAACGGCUCACCAAGGCGACGAUACAUAGCCGACCUGAGAGGGUGAUCGGCCACACUGGGACUGAGACACGGCCCAGACUCCUACGGGAGGCAGCAGUAGGGAAUCUUCGGCAAUGGACGGAAGUCUGACCGAGCAACGCCGCGUGAGUGAAGUAGGUUUUCGGAUCGUAAAGCUCUGUUGUAAGAGAAGAACGAGUGUGAGAGUGGAAAGUUCACACUGUGACGGUAUCUUACCAGAAAGGGACGGCUAACUACGUG
This 495-nucleotide ribosomal RNA is filed under the name uncultured bacterium. RNAcentral describes it as "partial 16S ribosomal RNA". It matches the Rfam family "Bacterial small subunit ribosomal RNA", at positions 28 to 507 of the family's 1533-position model. The record is from RNAcentral.